AUGAUCUCUGUUGAUAGGGCCCUUCUUGACUUAGGGCGCCUUGCUUUCCGUCGGCCCUUUGGGCCGGCGGAAUCCGCCGCCUGGCGUGAGUUUCUCGACUGCGUUGCUCUGCAUGAGCCGUUGGUGGAUGGGGAUCAGGACCUUGUGCGCUGGCGCUUGGAACCAUCGGGCCAGUUCUCAACCAAGUCACUCUACUUGGCCAUUGCCCCCUCCUCCGCCCCCCUUCCCCUAUCGAUGGUGUGGUCCGUCCGCGUCCCCCUCAAGAUUCGCAUCUUCAUGUGGCAGUGGAUUCGUGGACGGGUCCCGUCUGGUGUGGAGGUUUGCACGCGCAAUGGCCCGGGCACUGGUAUCUGCCCCCUCUGUGAUGUCCCGGAAGACUCCAACCACAUCUUCUUCGCUUGCGUCUCCGCCCAGUUUCUCUGGAGCUGCUUUCGCGAGAUUGUAGGUGGAAGUUGGUGCCACACCAAUUUCCCGGACUUAUUUGCUGAACUCCAGCUGUCCCCCACGUCCUCUCGCCACAUUAGGUGGCUGGAGGUUGGGGUUCUUGCCUGGACUCUUUGGACCGUUCACAAUAAGCUUGUGAUCCAGCGUACUCCUCUUCGUCGCGCUACUGACGCUCUCUACAGACUCUCGGGUUUCUUGCAGCUUUGGCGGCCGCUUAGCCGCCCCCCGGAUCGGGACGCCAUCUCAGCCUUCAUCGCCGACCUCUGCUCGAUGGCCGUCCGCCUAUCGCCGCCGCCCCCGCCGCCUCCGCCGGAGCCUGACUAG
This 768-nucleotide ribosomal RNA is filed under the name Triticum aestivum (bread wheat). RNAcentral describes it as "partial small subunit ribosomal RNA". The record is from RNAcentral. Lineage: Eukaryota; Viridiplantae; Streptophyta; Magnoliopsida; Poales; Poaceae.